Solanum pennellii is the source of this 771-nucleotide RNA transcript. It is a transcript of the gene named pathogenesis-related protein STH-2-like, with no coding region annotated. Lineage: Eukaryota; Viridiplantae; Streptophyta; Magnoliopsida; Solanales; Solanaceae. The record is from RefSeq and is a predicted model, not a curated record. The transcript is spliced from 2 exons.
UUCAUUAAAACACACACCUCAAAACAUUAAUUCAUCUUAUCCUCUUUGUUAUAAAAGCAAAUAUAAAUCAAAAACAUUAUGGGUGUGAAUACCUAUACUUAUGAGUCAACAACCACAAUUUCCCCAACAAGACUAUUCAAAGCUUUGGUUCUUGAUUUUGACAACCUUGUACCUAAAUUGUUGUCACAACAUGUUAAGAACAAUGAGACUAUUGAGGGAGAUGGUGGUGUUGGAAGCAUCAAGCAAAUGAACUUUGUUGAAGGUGGUCCAAUAAAGUACUUAAAACACAAGAUUCAUGUGAUUGAUGACAAGAACUUAGAAACAAAAUAUUCACUUAUUGAAGGUGAUAUUCUUGGAGAAAAAUUGGAAUCAAAAUUACCUAUGAUAUCAAAUUUGAAGCUAAUGAUAAUGGAGGUUGUGUUUACAAGACAACAACUGAGUAUCACACAAAGGGUGAUAAUGUUGUUAGUGAAGAAGAACACAAUGUAGGCAAAGAGAGAAUCAUGAAUAUUUCCAAGGCUGUAGAAGCAUACCUUCUCGCGAAUCCUUCUGUCUACGCUUAAAUAUUGAUGAAAAAGAAUCAGUUCUACACGUGAGAGAUUACGUAUGUGUUGUGAUUUUAAAUAAUUUAAAAUGUGUGUGUUGUUUUUAAGAAGUUUAAACUCUCGAAUGAGAGACGUAGAAGUUGAUUGAUGUUGUGUGUGUAUUUUCCAAUUGUAUGUCAUGGAAAGAACUUUCAAUAAAGAAUAUUGUCACAAGCUAAUCCUCAAA